GAUGAAGAACGUAGUGAAAUGCGAUACGUAAUGUGAAUUGCAGAAUUCAGUGAAUCAUCGAGUCUUUGAACGCACAUUGCGCCCCCUGGUAUUCCGGGGGGCAUGCCUGUCCGAGCGUCAUUGCUGCCCUCAAGCACGGCUUGUGUGUUGGGCCUCCGUCCUCCUCCCGGGGGACGGGCCCGAAAGGCAGCGGCGGCACCGCGUCCGGUCCUCGAGCGUAUGGGGCUUCGUCACCCGCUCUUGUAGGCCCGGCCGGCGCUUGCCGACACAUCAAUCUUUUUUCCAGGUUGAACUCGGAUCAGGUAGGGAUACCCGCUGAACUUAAGCAUAUCAAUAAGCGGAGGA
This 345-nucleotide unclassified non-coding RNA is filed under the name soil metagenome. Its description in RNAcentral is "partial contains 5.8S ribosomal RNA, internal transcribed spacer 2, and large subunit ribosomal RNA". The stretch from base 1 to 120 matches the Rfam family "5.8S ribosomal RNA", at positions 35 to 154 of the family's 154-position model. The record is from RNAcentral.